ACGGGUGAGUAAUACAUCGGAACGUAUCCUGGAGUGGGGGAUAGCCCGGCGGAAGCCGGAUUAAUACCGCAUACGCUCUGAGGAGGAAAGCGGGGGACCUUCGGGCCUCGCGCUCAAGGGGCGGCCGAUGGCGGAUUAGGUAGUUGGUGGGGUAAAGGCCUACCAAGCCGACGAUCCGUAGCUGGUCUGAGAGGACGACCAGCCACACUGGGACUGAGACACGGCCCAGACUCCUACGGGAGGCAGCAGUGGGGAAUUUUGGACAAUGGGGGCAACCCUGAUCCAGCAAUGCCGCGUGUGUGAAGAAGGCCCUCGGGUUGUAAAGCACUUUUGUCCGGAAAGAAAUCAUCGGGGCCAAUACCCCUGGUGGAUGACGGUACCGGAAGAAUAAGCACCGGCUAACUACGUGCCAGCAGCCGCGGUAAUACGUAGGGUGCGAGCGUUAAUCGGAAUUACUGGGCGUAAAGCGUGCGCAGGCGGUGCUGUAAGACCGAUGUGAAAUCCCCGGGCUUAACCUGGGAACUGCAUUGGUGACUGCAGCGCUGGAGUAUGGCAGAGGGGGGUGGAAUUCCACGU
This 576-nucleotide ribosomal RNA is filed under the name uncultured bacterium. Its description in RNAcentral is "bacterial SSU rRNA". It matches the Rfam family "Bacterial small subunit ribosomal RNA", at positions 102 to 674 of the family's 1533-position model. The record is from RNAcentral.